AACGAACGCUGGCGGCAUGCCUAACACAUGCGAGUCGAACGAAGGCUUCGGCCUUAGUGGCGCACGGGUGCGUAACGCGUGGGAAUCUGCCCUUUGCUUCGGAAUAACAGUUAGAAAUGACUGCUAAUACCGGAUGAUGUCGCAAGACCAAAGAUUUAUCGGCAAAGGAUGAGCCCGCGUAGGAUUAGCUAGUUGGUGGGGUAAAGGCCUACCAAGGCGACGAUCCUUAGCUGGUCUGAGAGGAUGAUCAGCCACACUGGGACUGAGACACGGCCCAGACUACUACGGGAGGCAGCAGUGGGGAAUAUUGGACAAUGGGCGAAAGCCUGAUCCAGCAAUGCCGCGUGAGUGAUGAAGGCCUUAGGGUUGUAAAGCUCUUUUACCCGGGAUGAUAAUGACAGUACCGGGAGAAUAAGCUCCGGCUAACUCCGUG
This 433-nucleotide ribosomal RNA is filed under the name uncultured bacterium. RNAcentral describes it as "partial 16S ribosomal RNA". It matches the Rfam family "Bacterial small subunit ribosomal RNA", at positions 29 to 507 of the family's 1533-position model. The record is from RNAcentral.